RNAcentral lists this non-coding RNA (89 nucleotides) under Fimbriiglobus ruber. Its description in RNAcentral is "SAH sequence". It matches the Rfam family "SAH (S-adenosyl-L-homocysteine) riboswitch aptamer". The record is from Rfam by way of RNAcentral. Lineage: Bacteria; Pseudomonadati; Planctomycetota; Planctomycetia; Gemmatales; Gemmataceae.
GUCUUCGAGGGGCGCUGCAACGGGACGCAUUGGCGUACUUGCCAGGCUCGAUGAGGUGGCUUACUACCGUGCAACGGCGCCCGUUCAUC